AAAAAGGCAAACACUGGGUUUCCGUGCCAAUAUUUGACUGUCUGUCUUAUAUGAAAUUUUUUUUGUAAUUAGUAUUUUCAUUGUUGUUAGAUGAUAAAACAAGAUUAAUACUUUAUGCGUGACUUAUCUUUUUAAUUUUUUUCAAAUAAGAUGGACGGUCAAACGUUGGACACGAAAACCAGGGUUUGUCUUUUU
Molecule: microRNA precursor, 195 nt
Filed under: Oryza sativa Japonica Group (Japanese rice)
Lineage: Eukaryota; Viridiplantae; Streptophyta; Magnoliopsida; Poales; Poaceae
Description: MIR812 microRNA precursor family
Rfam family: MIR812 microRNA precursor family
Source: Rfam by way of RNAcentral